RNAcentral lists this unclassified non-coding RNA (212 nucleotides) under plant metagenome. RNAcentral's name for it is "partial contains small subunit ribosomal RNA and internal transcribed spacer 1". The stretch from base 1 to 46 matches the Rfam family "Eukaryotic small subunit ribosomal RNA", at positions 1786 to 1831 of the family's 1831-position model. The record is from RNAcentral.
AAGUCGUAACAAGGUUUCCGUAGGUGAACCUGCGGAAGGAUCAUUAAAGAACGCCCCGUUUUUUACAAAUGGGUUCAAUACCCCAACCGUGUAUACCUUACCUUUGUUGCUUGGCGGGCCGCCUGAGCGUGGCUCGGCUGACUGCGCCGCAGACGCAACCCAAACCAUCGUUUCGUUUUGAUGUGAUGCCUGAGUACUAUAAAAUUUUAAAA